CUGGUAGCAGUUUUGCUAGUAUGAGCAUGCUUCCCAUGUGGAGUAUGAAGUGUGUUCCAUCCUUGGUGUGCGUUGUGUGACUCAACAAGGCCAGCUGUGACGGAAGGGAACGAGUUCAGCAGUGUCAAAAAGGAAGAUGAACAGUCCCUAAGCAAAAUUCUACUUGCUACUUGCUGGGCGAACCGAAAGGAAAGGAAACCAGAAUGCCACUUCACUUCCUUUGGCUGCGCCACACACACAUGUGCACACAGACAUCCAGAGGUUGACAUACAUCAAUUGAAAACGAUAAGGAGG
Molecule: long non-coding RNA, 294 nt
Organism: Dunckerocampus dactyliophorus (ringed pipefish)
Lineage: Eukaryota; Metazoa; Chordata; Actinopteri; Syngnathiformes; Syngnathidae
Exons: 3
Source: RefSeq, a predicted model, not a curated record